Molecule: ribosomal RNA, 402 nt
Filed under: Actinomycetes bacterium
Lineage: Bacteria; Bacillati; Actinomycetota; Actinomycetes
Description: Actinobacteria bacterium partial 16S ribosomal RNA
Rfam family: Bacterial small subunit ribosomal RNA
Source: RNAcentral
UGGGGAAUUUUGCACAAUGGGGGCAACCCUGAUGCAGCGACGCCGCGUGAUUUAGAAGGCCUUCGGGUUGUAAAAAUCUUUUGUAUGGGAAGAAAAUGACAGUACCAUACGAAUAAGGACCGGCUAAUUACGUGCCAGCAGCCGCGGUAAUACGUAAGGUCCGAGCGUUGUCCGGAAUCAUUGGGCGUAAAGGGUACGUAGGCGGAUAAGCAAGUUAGAAGUGAAAUCCUAUAGCUCAACUAUAGUAAGCUUUUAAAACUGCUCAUCUUGGGGUAUGGAAGGGAAAGUGGAAUUCCUAGUGUAGCGGUGAAAUGCGCAGAUAUUAGGAGGAAUACCGGUGGCGAAGGCGACUUUCUGGCCAUAAACUGACGCUGAGGUACGAAAGCGUGGGUAGCAAACAGG